UGAUGUCAUAUGCCUUGGACUCAACGAACGUUAUCGUUACACACUGGAUCGGAAAGUUAUGGUGAUCGGCACUGGUUUCAAACCUCUUUAAGCUUCAAGUUGGCUUUUGAAAGCAUCGUUGUUUUAGCCUACUUCAUCAACACCAUGAAAAGUGUACUGGAACUUGUGGUCUGCGUGAUUUGUUGAACUAGAAGACCAUGGAAAAAUGGCGGAGAUAUUCCCAAGUCACUUCUGAUUGUGCUGAGAGCUCAACAGUGCCAAACUUUGACAAAUUGACAUUCGCCAGUUGGCCUCAUUCAAUUCCAUUGCUGUCUGCCUAAUAAUGUCAGUGGGCAAUUACGACAAGGUCGAACCGGUGGUCUACUUCCUCAAGGAACCAUGGUGUUUUCAGGGAGGACUGUGGCCGUUUCUCCUCCUCAACCAGGUUUUUCAGGAGAGCACUGGUCACUCUACUAAAGACGUGCAUGGCAGGUUGGACACUGAAAUGGGAGUGGGUUGGCGGUCAUGAAGGAUAAAUGGGACCAAGGAUGCUGAGGACGAGAAAGGUGUGCGGUAGGAUGAAC
This is a long non-coding RNA of Alosa sapidissima (American shad), 563 nucleotides long. RefSeq lists it as uncharacterized. NCBI's taxonomy places the organism in Eukaryota, Metazoa, Chordata, Actinopteri, Clupeiformes, Clupeidae. The record is from RefSeq and is a predicted model, not a curated record. The transcript has 4 exons.